CCUACGGGAGGCAGCAGUGAGGAAUAUUGGUCAAUGGGCGCAAGCCUGAACCAGCCAAGUCGCGUGAGGGAUGACGGUCCUAUGGAUUGUAAACCUCUUUUGUCAAGGGACAAAAUCAGGCUCGAGAGCCUGACCGAGGGUACUUGAAGAAAAAGCAUCGGCUAACUCCGUGCCAGCAGCCGCGGUAAUACGGAGGAUGCGAGCGUUAUCCGGAUUUAUUGGGUUUAAAGGGUGCGUAGGCGGUCGGUUAAGGCAGCGGUAAAAGCCCGGGGCUCAACCCCGGCCAGCCGUUGAAACUGGCUGUCUUGAGAUGUCGAGAGGUAUGCGGAAUGCGCAGUGUAGCGGUGAAAUGCUUAGAUAUUGCGCAGAACUCCGAUUGCGAAGGCAGCAUACCGGCGGCGAUCUGACGCUGAGGCACGAAAGCGUGGGUAUCGAACAGGAUUAGAUACCCGAGUAGUC
This 459-nucleotide ribosomal RNA is filed under the name uncultured bacterium. RNAcentral describes it as "partial 16S ribosomal RNA". It matches the Rfam family "Bacterial small subunit ribosomal RNA", at positions 338 to 795 of the family's 1533-position model. The record is from RNAcentral.